AUGAGCUUCAAGAUAAGAAGCUGUGAGCAGUAUGAAAGUCAAUUAGAAAAGGAGACAUCAAUGAUAGAGGUGGAUUCUAUUACAGCACAGAGAAUGAGUUCAGCCAGCUUAAUGAGAAAGACUUGAUAGUUUGAUUGAAGCUGAAAUGUGACCUUAGAGUGAUGGGAGAUCUCAGUUCAAAAUGCUCACUGAACUUUUCUCUGACCUGCCUUUAACCCUCAGCCUACAUCACAGUCUUAAGCAGAACUCAGGUGGAAUUCCAGUUUGAUCAGUCUUCAGUUUUCUAAGCCCAAAUAAGGAAAAGCAAAUAACGUAACUUAAAAUCCAAAUCUCUUAAAUUCCAGUUCAGUCAUGUAUGAGUCAAAUUUUCCAAGCUACUCAGGUGGUAUUACUUCAUUAGGUCUUGAGUCACCUGUGCCUAGGCUGUGGAUUUACAGUAAGAGCUUUAGUCCUUGUUUUGCACCCCAAUAGUGUAAGUCUGCUGUUAAUGAAGAGGGAGAUUUUCAUAUGAGCUAACUAAAGGCACCUAAAGGUAUAAUUUUGAAAACUGUUUGAACUGACGCUAGCUAUUUCAUAUCUAGAAAUGAUGUGAUCCAAAUCCUUUAAGAACUUAUUCCGCCUUUUGAAAUUUUACUCAAAGGCAUUAAGGCUAGAUAUUAUCAUAGUUUAAACAAAAUAAAGCUGUUUUCUGCUUCUUUUGUCCUCAAAGUGAAGCUAUAGGAUAAAACUUUACAGUGCAGUUAAAAGGUAACAUUUAUAUUAAAAACUGCAUAUGGUAUGCUGAUUUUUGUAGACUAGAAGACUUAUCUCACACAUUAUUUAUGGAUCAGACUAUAUGAAACAUUGUGAGUCCUCAUGCUGAACUCUCAAAAUUUAUCGUGAAAGAUGAAAUUCUGAGGCAGAGCAAGAGUCAGCAUAGGCAGUAGCACCCACUAGGGAAGUACCGACUUUAUUCCAUUUAAAUAGUUCUGGUUUAGGAAAAAAUCUGGGUUCUUCUAAGUAUUAAGCUUUUCAGCUGCUAUUAGAAGCUUAUAAAGAAACCUGACCUUGUGUAAAAUACUUUUGGUGUUGACUAUCUUUUAAUAAGCCAUCAGAUAUGAACUUGUCUCUUCCUUCAUAAGAUAUGUAUAUAUAAAAUAUAUAUAUCUUUUUAAAAUGAC
Molecule: long non-coding RNA, 1160 nt
Filed under: Cairina moschata (Muscovy duck)
Lineage: Eukaryota; Metazoa; Chordata; Aves; Anseriformes; Anatidae
Description: domestica (muscovy Duck (domestic type)) lncRNA (ENSCMMG00000011690.1)
Source: RNAcentral